RNAcentral lists this ribosomal RNA (454 nucleotides) under uncultured bacterium. RNAcentral describes it as "bacterial SSU rRNA". It matches the Rfam family "Bacterial small subunit ribosomal RNA", at positions 345 to 796 of the family's 1533-position model. The record is from RNAcentral.
GAGGCAGCAGUGAGGAAUAUUGGUCAAUGGGCGAGAGCCUGAACCAGCCAAGUAGCGUGAAGGAUGACUGCCCUAUGGGUUGUAAACUUCUUUUAUAAAGGAAUAAAGUCGGGUAUGCAUACCCGUUUGCAUGUACUUUAUGAAUAAGGAUCGGCUAACUCCGUGCCAGCAGCCGCGGUAAUACGGAGGAUCCGAGCGUUAUCCGGAUUUAUUGGGUUUAAAGGGAGCGUAGAUGGAUGUUUAAGUCAGUUGUGAAAGUUUGCGGCUCAACCGUAAAAUUGCAGUUGAUACUGGAUAUCUUGAGUGCAGUUGAGGCAGGCGGAAUUCGUGGUGUAGCGGUGAAAUGCUUAGAUAUCACGAGGAACUCCGAUUGCGAAGGCAGCCUGCUAAGCUGCAACUGACAUUGAGGCUCGAAAGUGUGGGUAUCAAACAGGAUUAGAUACCCUGGUAGUCC